Molecule: non-coding RNA, 73 nt
Organism: Henosepilachna vigintioctopunctata
Lineage: Eukaryota; Metazoa; Arthropoda; Insecta; Coleoptera; Coccinellidae
Source: the annotation of a GenBank genome assembly
GCUUUCGUGGCUUAGUCGGGAAAACACCCGAUUAUGGUGCGUUAGGAUUUAGGUUCGAGCCCCAGUGAAGGCU